Molecule: long non-coding RNA, 2393 nt
Organism: Notothenia coriiceps (black rockcod)
Lineage: Eukaryota; Metazoa; Chordata; Actinopteri; Perciformes; Nototheniidae
Exons: 3
Source: RefSeq, a predicted model, not a curated record
GCCAGCGGAGCAGCGCGUGCUGUCGGUCUCCGGCCUGCAGGUGGCACAGUACUGCGUCCGGGCUCAGACCGUCCUGCAGGAUCAGAAUCGGAGCGACAGCACCAACGAGCAGUGCAUCUCCAUCACAGGCGCAGACGCCCCCUGGAGGAAACCCACGGCGGUGCUGCUGAGCGUCGUCUUCACGGCCGGUUUCCUGUUCGCUGUCUUCUGGUGCGUCGCUCACUGCCAUCCGGAUCGCUGCAAAACGUUUUUCCGUAAAGAGCCUCUGCCACACUCACUGAAACCUGAUUGGGUGAUUCAGAUCCCAAUUAGCCCCGAGGAUGCGGAGCUCUGUGAGCGGAUCCAGGUGGGCAGUGACUGCCCUUCCGAGGACCUCUGACCCUGAAGAGACACCUGCAGUCCAAAAUGCAGAUUCUUGGAUUUGGUGGAGAACGUUUUGAGUCUGUGGUGCAUUCAAAUCGUGUGGGAAAAAAGACAAUUGAGGGCUGGUUUUCGUUAGUGUUAGCUGUUGGCAGUUAGCAGUUAGCUGUUAGCAGUUAGCAGCGCCAGAUUCCAUAUCGUGCAACAUGCUGCGUUUAAGCCUUAUGUAGGAAAAAAGAGAAUUGGACAAAGCUGACCUGUACCGUUAUCAAGAUGUGUUAAAAUGUAGUCUUGUAAAAUGAAGUUUUUUAAAGGAAAUGUGAAAAAGUACAGUGUUUACAGUAGUCUUGUACUCGAGACCGGUCUUGGUCUAGAUCAGGGGUGUCCAAUUUACGACCCAGGGGCCAAACAUGGUCCGCGGCCCAUGUUGAAACGGCCUCCAGCUAAUUAAAAAAGUAUAAUGAAAUAUGGCCCACAAAUUAAACUUGUGCUUGUCAUAUAUCCUACUUCCGAUAUAUAUGUAAAAUAUUUUACACAGUGUUCAUGUGUUAAUAAUAAGCCCACUUUUCAAAUACAUUUAGUUAAUUAAAGUUGGAAACAUUUUCAAAUAAAUCUUAGUUGAUAAAAAAAAAGCCCAAUGCUAUUUACAUAACAAGCUUGAAAUCUACCCUUUAAAUGUCCUCUUUUUAUAAGCAAUCUGAAGCUUCUGUUUUCAGGAAUGAGCUACCAACAAAAUAAUGAAACCCGGCAUAAGGCAGUAUACCUCACCUCUAGUGAGCCAGCCCUUCGUAUAUUUUUCUGUAUGUGGCCCUCACUGAAAAAAGUUUGGACACCCCUGGUCUAGACCUCUGAAAGUCUUGACUUGGUCUUGGUCUUGGUCUUGGUCUUGGUCUUGGUCUUGUUACACUCCGGUCUUGCUCUUGACUUGGUCUUGGUUAAGGUGGUCUUGACUAGUUUACAGCAAUUAGAAAAUACAUAUCAGAGAGGGCAUUAUGACCUCAUUAACUUCCGAAUCAAUAUGCUUUCAGUAUUAUAUAAGGAGUGUAUGUUGAAGUAUGUAUUCUGGAUUUUAGACAUUUUGAUUUCAUGGGAGUACAUCCAAAAGUUUUCCAGAAGAUGCUGAUGAGCAUAUACAUUCAAAUCCUGUGCGAAAAAAUGGAAAGAAACAAAAGGAAAACUGCAUCAAAACAACAACUGAGGCCACAUCUACGAAGGAAUAUGAACUUUGCCAUGAUUUCUUUCUGUUAUUAGGCUUUCUGAAAGUCUGAUCAGGGACGUCCCAGGAUCCGUUACUGUGGUACCAAGUUGAUGCCAAAACUCUACAGACUAACUUCGUCCUGUUGCCCAGGGACAAUAGAAAAAACCCUAUUGUUCCUUAUGAUAACAACGUUAUUUUGUAUAUUGAAUGUUGUGCCUUUUUUUUAUGCCUCCUAAUGUGUGUUUUUGUAUUUAUUUGUGUAUGUUUGAUUAUGUAUGUGUGUAUGUACAUGUAUAUAUACACAAACUGUAUACUAUACUGUACAGUCUAAGGUUAAACCCUGCUUAAAUGGUACAACUACGCCGCCUGCUGUUGUAAAUGUCAGAUUAUGGGUUAACCCCAUAGCAACCGCAUAGCAACAGCAUAGCAACAGCAUAGCAACGGCAUAGCAACAGCAUAGCAACAACAUAGCAACCGCAUAGCAACCACACAGCAACCGCACAGCAACCGCACAGCAAAGGAGGACCUUCUGAGGUAAGGUGUCUCAAAUGUCUGUGGAUAAAAUAAUGUUUUACUUACUUGAGAAGCUCAUAAAAGUUAAGCUGGCUUCACUUGGUUGGAUAUUAACUGUUGAGGAAUAAAUUCACCAUGUUUUAGUUAAAUUGACUUUUCAUUUUAUGUGUUUUAUUCAUCGUAUAAACCUAAUUUAGCCAGCUAACAAGUUAACCUUAGCAUAAUGUUUUCAGACAGAGCAUGAGCUGUUUGUCCCACAUAUUAUUUAUAAAUAUUUAUUUAUUGAGAUUUUGGAAAAAAUUGAUUUGAGAUUUUCUGAAAU